CCUACGGGAGGCAGCAGUGGGGAAUCUUGCACAAUGGGCGAAAGCCUGAUGCAGCAACGCCGCGUGGGGGACGAAUGCCUUCGGGUUGUAAACCCCUUUCAGCAGGAACGAAACUGACGGUACCUGCAGAAGAAGCCCCGGCCAACUACGUGCCAGCAGCCGCGGUAAU
This 169-nucleotide ribosomal RNA is filed under the name uncultured bacterium. RNAcentral describes it as "partial 16S ribosomal RNA". It matches the Rfam family "Bacterial small subunit ribosomal RNA", at positions 338 to 524 of the family's 1533-position model. The record is from RNAcentral.